GCAAGUCGAGGGGCAGCGGGGUGUAGCAAUACACUGCCGGCGACCGGCGCACGGGUGCGUAACGCGUAUGCAACCUACCCAUAACAGGGGGAUAACACUGAGAAAUUGGUACUAAUACCCCAUAACAUCAGGACCGGCAUCGGUUCUGGUUGAAAACUCCGGUGGUUAUGGAUGGGCAUGCGUUGUAUUAGCUGGUUGGUGAGGUAACGGCUCACCAAGGCAACGAUACAUAGGGGGACUGAGAGGUUAACC
Molecule: ribosomal RNA, 252 nt
Filed under: uncultured bacterium
Lineage: Bacteria
Description: partial 16S ribosomal RNA
Rfam family: Bacterial small subunit ribosomal RNA
Source: RNAcentral